Molecule: small nuclear RNA, 107 nt
Organism: Eptesicus fuscus (big brown bat)
Lineage: Eukaryota; Metazoa; Chordata; Mammalia; Chiroptera; Vespertilionidae
Source: RefSeq, a predicted model, not a curated record
GUGCUUGCUUCAGCAGCACAUAUACUAAAAUUUAAAUGAUACAGAGAAGAUUAACAUGGCUCCUGCACAAGGAUGACAUGCAAAUCCAUGAAGUGUUUCAUGUUAUU